UUGUUACAAAGGAGAGGAACAUACAAUAGUCGAAGACCAUAAUUGUUGUUACAUCUUCACAUAAAAUAUAAGCACCAAUGUUUCUUUUUUUCCCCAAUAAUCUUCAUCACUGCCAAAUUGAUUCCUCAUAUAAUAGGAAGAAUGAAAAAGAAAACCCAAGCAGUAUAUAAACAACAGUAUUUCUCUGCACCAAAAGUAAAGAAUAAACUAAGAAACCAAGGGUUAAAUGCACAACCUUCAACUCUUCUGCCAAGCCAUUUUUCGAUACUCCAAUCCCCGGCAAAAAUCCAUUUCCCAGUGAUAACUCUGGAUCUGACAUGCUUCCAGAACCCUGCAAUACCCAUGGUUCUCACUAUCUUCAAAAAUUCCAGAAUGCUCAUGGCCAUCUGCUAAUUUCUAACCCAAAAAUUUUCAAAAUGAAGAAACUCACCUCGCAACUGAGAUUAUGAAUCUUGUAAUUUGAUCCAAAUACACUUUCAGCUCCUAAAGUUCGCUUACAUGGAUCAGCCAGCUGUCUGUCACCCUGAACAACAACUUCGCAGACAUCACAC
This 551-nucleotide long non-coding RNA is filed under the name Panax ginseng (ginseng). Its description in RNAcentral is "long non-coding RNA (PGIN_LNC008562)". Lineage: Eukaryota; Viridiplantae; Streptophyta; Magnoliopsida; Apiales; Araliaceae. The record is from RNAcentral.